CCCACAAAUAAGCUAACAGAGGAAAUAAGACAAAUUUUUGAGAUUCUACAGACCAGUUUAGAAAAGAAUAACAUGAAUUACCCUCUAGAUAUUUCCUACAAUAAUUGGGAGGAAAUGACAAAUGAUUCAUUCAUAAACUAAUCUGUCAACCUAAACACAGCCAAGGAAAAGAAAAAAAAGAAUAACUAUAGUAGCUUAAGUGACCUCUCCUUAUCUCUUCUUGCUUUGCAGGGAAGACCAC
This 241-nucleotide unclassified non-coding RNA is filed under the name Hevea brasiliensis (rubber tree). Lineage: Eukaryota; Viridiplantae; Streptophyta; Magnoliopsida; Malpighiales; Euphorbiaceae. The record is from RNAcentral.